RNA transcript from Nomascus leucogenys (northern white-cheeked gibbon), 1131 nucleotides. It is a transcript of the gene named phosphatidylinositol 3,4,5-trisphosphate 3-phosphatase TPTE2 pseudogene, with no coding region annotated. The record is from RefSeq and is a predicted model, not a curated record. NCBI's taxonomy places the organism in Eukaryota, Metazoa, Chordata, Mammalia, Primates, Hylobatidae. The transcript has a single exon.
GCCAUUCCACACCAGCCUAGGCAACAAGAGCGAAACUCAUCUCAAAAAAAUAUAUAUAUACUUUCUCCUACUGUUACUGUCUCCUGUGGGUCAAGACCAACCCCAUCCCAGGAGAUCCCAGGAUUGCCAGUAGUGACCCUGAAACAAAAUCAUCUCUUGCUGAGGCAAUGGGCUGAUUUCCUGAGUACACAUUAAUCUGAGCUCCCUCAGCCCUAGCGGUAGGGGGAUUGGGUGCACAAGAUGGGUGCAGCCACAUAGGGAAGAUCCCCCAGUGUUGCCCUGCUCCCAGUUCAGGUUUGUGAAAAUGCCAGCAGUGUUUCUCUGUGUCUUUCCCUCACAAAGUCUCCAAGUCUCUCCUCAAAUGAGCUCCAAGGCUUGGGAGAAACAAUCUCUUCCUCUGCCAGGGUUGCGUGGAUCUCCAGUGGAAAGGAAGAACCGGAACUAUGGUUUGUGCCUUCCUUCUUGCCUCCAAAAUAUUUUCAACUGCAGAGAAUAGAUAUGUUGGAUAUUUUGCACAAGUGAGACAUCUCUACAACUGGAAUCUCCCUCCAAGACGGAUACUCUUUAUAAAAAGAUUUAUUAUUUAUUCAAUUCAUGGUGUUGGAACAGGCGAUAUAUGUGAUCUAAAAUUCCAAAUAGUAAUGGAGAAAAAGGUUGUCUUUUCCAGUACUUCAUUAGGAGAUUGUUCGAUAUUGCAUGACAUUGAAACAGCCGGCGUAUUAAUGUAUAUGACGGUCCACCUCUGUACGAUGAUGUGGAAGUGCAAUUUUUCUCUUCGAAUUUUCCUAAAUACUAUGACAAUUGUUCAUUUUUCUUCUGGUUCAACACAUCUUUUAUUCAAAAUAACAGGCUUUAUCUACCAAGAAAUGAAUUGGAUAAUCCACAUAAACAAAAAGCAUGGAAAAUUUAUCCACCAGAAUUUGCUGUGGAGAUACUUUUUGGCGAGAAAUGACUUACAAUUACGUUGUAGCUGGAUCCGAUUAAGUAUAGUUCCCCCUUCCCCUUCUGGGAAAGAAUUAUGUUCUUUCCAAACCUGCCACAUAUUCAUAUAUCCUAAAUCUUCCUUGAUGAUAUGUCUAUAUUUAUAUAUGUUUAUAUAUGUUCUUCAUAAAUCUAUUAAAUAUAUAUAGA